CUGAGACUAAGCCAUGCAUGUCUAAGUAUAAACAAAUUUGUACUGUAAAACUGCGGACGGCUCAUUUAAAUCAGUUACAAUCUACUUGAUCGUAUAUUCAAAGAAUUAAUCGGGUAACCCUAGUAAUUCUAGAGCUAAUACGUGCAAAAAGCUCCGACCUCUUCUUUUAGGGGAAAGAGUGUUAUUUUAUUAGGUAACUUAAAACCAAUCAGACCCAAAAGGCUGUUUUGUUGAUGAUUCAUAAUAACUUUGCAAAUUCGCGGGCCAAUGUCUGCGAUGAUACAAACGAGUUUUCUGUACCUUAUUCAACUUUAGAUGGCAGGAUUAGGGGCUUGCCAUGGUGACAACGGGUGACGGGGAAUUAGGGUUCGAUUCCGGAGAGGGAGCCUGAGAAACGGCUACCACUUCC
RNAcentral lists this ribosomal RNA (409 nucleotides) under uncultured eukaryote. Its description in RNAcentral is "bacterial SSU rRNA". It matches the Rfam family "Eukaryotic small subunit ribosomal RNA", at positions 41 to 417 of the family's 1831-position model. The record is from RNAcentral.